CCACGCCGUAAACGAUGAGGACUAAGUGUUGGGGUGACCCAGUGCUGAAGUUAACGCAUUAAGUCCUCCGCCUGGGGAGUACGGCCGCAAGGUUGAAACUCAAAGGAACUGACGGGUCUCCGCACAAGCGGUGGAGCAUGUUGUUUAAUUCGACGAUACGCGAAGAACCUUACCAGGGCUUGACAUCUUCUUGACCGUCUUAGAGAUAAGAUUUCCCUUCGGGGCAAGAAUGACAGGUGGUGCAUGGUUGUCGUCAGCUCGUGUCGUGAGAUGUUGGGUUAAGUCCCGCAACGAGCGCAACCCCUAGCAAUAGUUGCUAACAUUCAGUUGAGGACUCUAUCGAGACUGCCAGUGACAAACUGGAGGAAGGUGGGGAUGACGUCAAAUCAUCAUGCCCCUUAUGUCCUGGGCUACAAACGUGCUACAAUGGCCGGUACAAUGAGUUGCCAAGUCGCAAGACGGAGCUAACCUCGUAAAGCCGGUCUCAGUUCGGAUCGAAGUCUGCAACUCGACUUCGUGAAGUUGGAAUCGCUAGUAAUCGUGGGUCAGCAUACCACGGUGAAUACGUUCUCGGAGAUUGUACACACCGCCCGUCAUACCAUGGAAGUCUGUAACACCCGAAGUACGUGGCCUAACUGCUUGCAGAGGGAGCGUCCUAAGGUGGGAUGGAUAACUGGGGUAAAGUCGUAACAAGGUAACC
RNAcentral lists this ribosomal RNA (700 nucleotides) under uncultured bacterium. RNAcentral describes it as "bacterial SSU rRNA". It matches the Rfam family "Bacterial small subunit ribosomal RNA", at positions 795 to 1501 of the family's 1533-position model. The record is from RNAcentral.